GAAUAGGAUUUAUAUUUUUCGCAUUUUUCUAUUUUUGGAUUGUAAUAAUUGGACUGAACACUAUAAUUUUGGAUUUGUUUGUUUGUUUAUUUGAUUGAUUGGUUUGUAUGUUUUUGUGUGGUUUAUACACUCUUAGCGUCGAAUUAGCCGAUAUGUUCCACCAAGCGACCGUGGUCGAACCACGGGAUCGAGGGGUGCCUAACACCUUUCCUUCGGUCAACAGAAUUUCUUAGCUAGAAUCUCUGUUCGCAAACCAGUUUAAACAGUCAAAUGGUUUUGAAAAGGAUUUUCCAAUGGUGACUUGGCACACCAGAUUAUGCGAAGUGGCAACUCUGAUUUCAAAUGUAAAAACAAUCCUUCUUUGAAACAAAUCGUUUUCUUUUUUCACUUAAUAAUAAAAACCCUUUUGAAUCCAAUAUAAAAUCUAAUCUUUUGGAGUUAAAAAAGGGGUGUGACAAUCUUGUUUAGAGUUUGUGUUGUAAUCUUGUGUUCUUCUUCUUGUUGUUGAAUCCGAAUCUUAUAGUCAUUGUGUUCACCUUCUUUUUUUUUGUGUUGCUGCUAAUUUGGUGUUGAAAACACAGCUCUUUAUCUCAUUAUUGUGUUGUAGUAGCGAAUCCGAGAGUGGUCUCCAUCUUGUUCCUCGAAUCCUUAAGAUUAGUGGACUAUUUUGAAGUGUGUUUGGACUAUUUUUUGCCCCAUUUCGUGAGUUCCUUGGGCUUUUUCGUAUCAUUUGGUAUCAAAGCCGAGUUUGAUUUUGUUCCUACGAAAUCAAUCUUGGGUUUGUUACUUAGAAAAUCAAACAAAAAACCUGAAAACUAAAAACUGAAAAAAAAAUCUAGAAAAGUGGAAAUUUGUCCACUUUUCUUUCUUGGCCAAAAACUGUGUUCUUGUUGUCUUGGCCGAGAUUUGUUUGUUGUGUGUCUAGAUCUAGUCGUGUUCUUGUUUGUUUUGUUAUUUCUAGUGUUAGUCUUCUUGUUCACUAACACUUUUGAGUCUAGAUCUAAACUUGAGCUUAAACUUGUUGAAAGUUGUUGUUGUGAACAAAUUAAUGCCCAUGUAUUGAUGUUGUUGUUCUUGGCCGUGUGGUGACCUUUCUUGUGAACUUGUGCAGGACGUUGUUGGUGUUGUUAUUGUUCUUGAAAAGUUUUUAUAUUCUUGUUGUUCAUCAUAAUCUUCACCCCUUGUUAAGACCAAAACACCACACUAAAGUACUUGGUCGUUUGUUGGAAGUUUGUAGUUGACCUUGUUGUUGUGGAAUUGUUGUUGUUCUUGAGAGAUUGUUGUUGAUUUUCUUGGUGAUUGUUGAAGUGUUCUUGAUGUUCUUCCAAACCUUCAUACCUUGUUAAAAUAAAGUGAAAGUUAGAUCCCAAAAGGUGAAGGAAAAGUGUGACAAAUUUGUUAGUCUUGAAAGACUUGCCAUCACUCACUAAUUAGUCAAUCACAUUUCAACCACUUUCCCAUAAAACAAGGAUCCAUGUUUUAAGGAGGAGUACAAGUCUAGUCCAAGAUUUUUGAGUCUUGAAAGUUGAAUUGAAAAAGCAACUCCAAAGACUAGUUUGUGUUUCCCUUCAUUGAACAAGUUACACCAAAGUCAAAAUUGUAAAAGUUGAUCAAGACUUCCCAAUUUGGAAAAUAAAAUUGUUGAGAACUGAGGCCAAUCACGGAUUGCCACAAUCACAAAUUAAUGUUCACCAACAAAUUUUAAGCUCAAUUUUUGAUCUUUUAGUUUCAUUUUGUGUCUUUAGUUUCGUUUGUUGAUUCUAAAUGUAAUUUACAAGCUAGUACUAGAUUGUGAGUUAGUUUUGAAACCGUUCUUCGUGUUAACUUUGCUUUGUGUGUUUUAAUUCUUUGAGUCAUUGUAAUACGUCUUUGUGUAUUCCUUACUCCUUGGAGUCCUUCUCAACAUUAGAUUUACCUCUCAACAUCACUCGGAGUACAAGCAAGCUUGCAACACUUGUGAGAUUGAGUGUGAGGAUCCAAGAGUCAAGAAAUAAAAAGAAAGAGUGGGGAUGUUUUUGUAGAACUAAUGUGUUUUCUGUUUUUGUAGGUAACUCCUUUGCCAUAAUGGACACCAUUUUGGCCCUCGUUGAUGCUAUGUCCAGAGACCUUUCUAGGGCAAAUCUGGGUCUUGAAAACAUUUACUCGGAUGUGGUAACUAUGGUUGAGAGGUUGGAUCGAAUGGGGAGACGAGGGAACUCUCGUGUUUUUACUCCCGAAACUUUACCUACAAAAGCCAAUCCUCCAAGUUCACCACAAAAUGUCAUAAGCCAAGCUACAAUUUACCCACAAAAUCGAGAACAAGGUAGGCCCCUUCCCCCGCUAGUUGAUCAAGUCCAACAAGAAGGACUUGUAAACCAAUUUCCUCCCAUCCAAGCUCCACAACCGAAGCUCCACAUUACCAAAGAAGUCCACUUUACCAAAUCAAUCCUUUCAAUCUAAACUCCACUUUACCAAAGCCUACAUAUCCAAGAAGAGAAACAUGGUAGAGAGGUACAUGAAGGAUAUGGAGCCUACGACAAUGCUUAUAUGAUGGAGGGAAACUUGAGUCAGAUAAGAUUGAAGCCAAAACUCAAGAUGGAGAGGAAGCCGAGGUUCAAAAUGAAAAUAUUAGCCACGAAUUGUGUUUGUGUUACUCUCGGGUCCAUCUUGUUGGUGGACUAUUUUUGGAGUCAUUUUUUAUAUGUCCCUUGUUGUUAUUGAGCUCUUGGGCUCUUCAUGUUUUUACGGACUAUUUUUUAGUGGACUCUUUGAAGUGGCCAAUUGAACGAGGUGAAGCCGUGAAUUUAUGGACAAAUUCCUCUCAAGAUGGAGAGGAUGAUACGAGAAUAAUUACGGAUAUGGACUUGUGAGUGUGUAAGUUGGGGCCAAGACUUGGUGUGGCAAAUGAAGUAUAAAGGACUUAAAAACACCAAAAUCAGCCCAUGACUUAAACUUGAUGAGAGCUCAUUCAUUGAAGGGCCUUUUGGUCAUUUAACUUCCAUUUUGUUAUAGCUAUUUAAGGAACAUGCUAGGGUUCCAUUCAGCAGAUUUUGUGUAAUGACCCUUACGGUCAUUUUACUGUAUUUUCAUAUAAUUGUAGUACUAUCUAAAUAUAUGUCGUGGAUUAUUUAAUUUAAUUUGGUAUUUUGUAAAAAUAUAAUUUAGUACCCUUCUAAAAUAUUUUCGAUAUUUGUAAAAUUCUUUAAGUCAUGAGAUAUUUAUCUCACUUUAUAAUAGGUUUUUAUGAUUUGUUAAUAUUUUAAGUGGAGAUAGUAAAUUUAAAAAAAAAAUAUUAAAAUACUAUUAUUAUAUAAUAGAGGUUUUGUUAGAAAUAAUUUUCUAUUAAUUAUGGUAUAUCCAAAAUAUUAUAAUUAUUUUACCACAAAUUUAUACAAUAUUCGAUUAUGUAUACAAUGUAGACAAAUUAUUAGAAGUGUACACGUGGGAAUGAAUUGUGGAAAGAAGCAUGGCAGCCAUAUGUUUGUCCAUGAUUUGGCCAAUUGGAAAGGGCUACCUUUUUAUAUAUAUACNNNNNNNNNNNNNNNNNNNNNNNNNNNNNNNNNNNNNNNNNNNNNNNNNNNNNNNNNNNNNNNNNNNNNNNNNNNNNNNNNNNNNNNNNNNNNNNNNNNNNNNNNNNNNNNNNNNNNNNNUAUUAUAUAUAUAUAUAUAUAUAUAUAUAUAUAUACCUUUAGUCCUUUUUUGACUAGAAAGAAAGAAAAAAGAAAACUUUCCAACUACUUACAUCUUUCUCAUUUCCUUGAAAAUAUUUGCAUCUGCCAUAUUAAAGUGAACCAUUCCCUUACCGUUAGCUUUCUGUUUUUCCAUAUCUGAACCUUCGUUUAUUUUAUUUUUUUUAAAUUAGUUAGGUUUCUUGUUUAGCCUUGCAAAAUUGCUUAUAAAUUACGAGGCGUUGUGGAAAACAAUUUCUUUAAUGUUGGUCAAAUUUGGGUUCUAGUGAGAUAGUAUUCGGAGGUUUUGCGGAAAGAUAUUAUAACUUUGGCGUCCAGGUAGGCUAGGUUUUUCCGAUCUUUAGAUUGAACUUAAUUACUAAAAAUGUAAACUAUUAUGUUAGCCUUGGAUAAAUUCUUGUAGAUGUGCAUUUUUUAUAUAUAUAAACUGUCUUAUUUAUCCGGAUUAGGACCCCAUUCUAGAAAAUUUUUGAAAAAUUAUCUUUUAAUAUAAUAUAGCAUCUAUCACUUUGAGACGUAAAAAUACUUUUUAUUUGAAAGUAUAGUUGUUCAUAUAUACAAUUGCUUCUCUUAUUCAUCUUUCAAUAUACCUUUAGAAAUAGUUAUAUGAAACAUGUAUACAUAUAUAAUUAUUUGAAAAGUAUAUAUGUAUAAGAGUAUAUAAUAAGCAUAGGAUAAUAUAGGCAUAUAAUAUAUUAAUUAAAUUGCGAAACCUUGAAUUUAUUCCUAGUUAAUUAAGAUUAACGGAUGAUUGUUUAGACAUUGACAUUGUUAUGAUAUGGUAUGAAUUUUAUUACUUCCGAUGGUUAUUGUUACUAUGAGUUUCAGUUCGAGUCCGGCAAAUGAUUAUUAUGGUUACUAUGAGUUUCGGUUCGAGUCCGGCAAUUGACUAUUAUGGUUACUAUAAGUUCCGGUUCGAGUCCGGCAAUUGACUAUUAUGGUUACUAUGAGUUUCGGUUCGAGUUCGGCAUUUGAUUAUUAUGGGUACUAUGAAUUCCGGUUCAAGUCCGGUGCACAUCUAGAUAACUAUAAUGAUUUAUUGGGAUCACUGCAGUUUUAGAUUAUUAUGUUUAUUUUUGUUACUUAGGUGUCCCACCGGCUUAUGGGGGUACGGUUGGGUUAAUUGUCUUCUUCAGUGUGCCUAGCGGGCUUAUGGGGGCUCAGUUAGGUUAUUUUGUGUGCCUAGCGGGCCUAUGGGGGCCCAAUUAGAUUAUGUUUGAUUUAUCUGUUAUUACUGCAUUAUUUAUUUUUUGGUAUCGCAUAAGUUUAUUUCUUUACAGACAUUGCGUAGUUUGGUAGUUCUUUACCUUUGCAUCCCUAUCUACUAAUGACUCAGAUUACGCCCUCGCAUUGUAGUUAGACCUUUUCUGUAUAAAGCUCAGUCGGCCGAUGAUGUCUACUGAGUACCCGUGGUUUUUUUGGUACUCAUACUACACUUUUGCAUCUUUUUCUGAUGCAGAUCAGGGUAAUAGCAGUCGAUGUUAACGUGGUUCCUACCUUCCAUCACUGAUUCAAAGCAGGGUGAGCUUGCUAUUAUCUGAGGCUGAUCCUCUUCUAUGUAUUCCAGUUAGUCUUUUGCUCUCGAGACUAUUUGUUUAUAUUGUGUACAUUUUAUAUUUUUGUCUAGUACUCUAGGUACCUUUUAGUAAUGGCUCUAGUACUGACCUUAUCAGGUCUUGGGAGGGACUCAUUGUAUAGUUGGUCUUUUUUUUUCUCAUUUCCUUUUGAUAUAAUAUAUUACUCUUACUUAGUUUUUACUUAUUAUUAUUAUACAUGAUCCUUUAUUUGGUCUCUAUCUGUUAGCCCGUUACUUAUCAUUUUGGAUUAUGGCUUGGCUUUCCUACUGGUGGGUUAAAGUAGGCACCAUCAUGUCUUGAGAAAUCGAGUCAUGACAUUUUGAUGAUAUUUGUGAGUGUAGAACACUUUUAACAAGCUCUCUCUAGAUGAAGGAGUGAACAAACCAAAACUAGGGCACUAUACAAGGGUGGAAUCACUUGUAUGUUGUAUUUGCUUGGAAACAUUGAUGCUUGGGAGGUGAAAUCCGAACUUGUAUCCUCGUAAGAGAUAGGUUUAUUGUUGUGGGUAACCUUAAGGGUCCAAUAUUGUCCAUUUUUGGGUUCUUAAGAUUAUUCCUUCAUGUGGUCUAUCUAUAUAUCCUUUUACUUUCAUUGUAAUCUUGUUUAAAGUUUGUGUUGUAAUCUUGUGUUCUUCUUCUUGUUGUUGAAUUUGAAUCUUGUAGUCAUUGUGUUCACCUUCUUCUUUUUGUGUUUCUGCUAAUUUGGUGUUGAAAACAUAGCUCUUUAUCUCACUAUUGUGUUGUAGUAGCGAAUCCGAGAGUGGUCUCCAUCUUGGUCCUCGAAUCCUUAAGAUUAGUGGACUAUUUUGAAGUGUGUUUGGACUAUUUUUUGCCCCAUUUCGUGAGUUCCUUGGGCUGUCCUGUAUCACUGAUGCUAAGUGCACCGAGUGCAACCAACUCGGUCAUGAAGCAGUGAUAUGUACAAGAGCAAUGGAGAUAUAAUACCUUUGAGGGCAAAAUCGGACAUGCUUUGAGAAUUUGAAACAACUUCCAUAUUAAUAUUGAUCUUGACUUCAAUCGGAUGAGGAUUCUGGAGGUUGACAACUAUAACAUGACCUGAACUCAAGCAUUUGAUUCCUUUCCAACUGCAACAAUUUUCGCCUUGCCAUGAAGAUAACCAAUUAGAUGGAUCAGUCAGCAAGGAUUUGUUAGGUUUUUUGCCUUGAUUUUCUUACUAUAUUUAAGUUUUAUUUUUUCUUAGUAGGAAAAUAAAAAUUACCAUAAUUACUUUUACUUUUCCUGAAAGAAAAAAAUAUAAUUCUUUUCCAUAUUUGGCUAACCUAAGACGACAUAGGUGAAAUUACUAAUAAAGACCCUAAUACCAAAAACAACUUGACUUCGACUUAAAGUAGACACCACCCUGCAAUGACAGACACAUAAAAAACUCAAACUGAAUAAAGAUAAGAAACACUCUUUCCGACUGGUGCUCUGCGUGAUGACCCUGGCUGAGAUGGACCUGCCUGUGAAGUUCUCUUUCUCCCAUUUAAACUUUGUAGCAUAUCCUGUAAAGACACCCUGAUACUGGGGAAGAAGCUUCGGGCCCGUAUUCCUGCCUCAUGAGGAGUGCACUUGGAAAGAUUAUUCUGACACCUCUCUACCGUCUUGAACAAAUCUGCUAACUGAACUCUCAGUGUUUCCACUUUGUACCCUUCACUUUCAUCCUGAUGGUCGUCUACUAUACAUUCUUCCUGUAUUCUCUCUCUAAGCUGUGCUGUAAGGGUUGACUGAUACCCCGAGGGAUAGAUUGAAGCCAAAUCCCAUAUCCCUAAGUGUACCUUGUAUUAUCCAAACUUUCUUUGAGUGUGUCCACACCUAGCUUUGUUGCAUGCUUCCAAAACUGCUCGUACUUGCUCUCACCUAAGGCUUGGUCCUUGAAGUACUCAAUAUCCUUCAGAAGAUCCACUGCUGGUGGCACGUCCUGCAGCCUACCCAACUGGCGCAUUACCCUAGAAGGACUGUAUGGUCUAGUGCAAUUGAGCCCUAACAUAACUAAAGGGAACUNNNNNNNNNNNNNNNNNNNNNNNNNNNNNNNNNNNNNNNNNNNNNNNNNNNNNNNNNNNNNNNNNNNNNNNNNNNNNNNNNNNNNNNNNNNNNNNNNNNNNNNNNNNNNNNNNNNUCUUGACUCAAGAAAUUCAAUCCAAGUGUCGACUCCCACGGGUAACGAGAAUUUAUCCAAAUGCAACCUGGAGUCCAUGACUUUCACUUGAUUGGGAAUACAAUGAUCUAACACGUCUGGUCUAACUAAAGAAGGCGCAUGCAAAUGCUCCAUCAUCCAUAACUGCAAUAUCAGGUAACUGCCCUCAAAAAAUCUCCUUCCCCCCUUUACUUCGGUUAAAGCCUUAUAUAUUUCUGUUAAGAUCAUGGGUAUGAGAGUGAACCUGCCCUUUUGAUUAGUGCCUUUAUCGUUUUGAUCCUUAUGAAAUAGGGCCAUCACCACAAAUUGCAAACGGGUAUUAAUACGUCUUUCUUCUAGUGGAAACAUUAAAGUACCUAACAAAGCGAGGGUGAAGACUUUAAGACGCUUUCUCUCCCACUUCUCCUUAGUCACAUGAAAUUCAUCCCAAAGGCAAUCAAAAUCUUCCGAGGGCCCGAAUCUAGCGAACAAAAAAUCUAAGGAAACCACAAGACUGCAAAAAUUUCACGCCAGUGUGAUUUCGUGCUCAGAUCAUAUCCUUCUCGAUAUAGGGCAAAUGCAAUAAACUAGAUAUUUCUGCCAAGGUAGGAGUCAUUUCACAUUCCCCAAACUUGAACACCAAACUACUUGGAUCCCAAAAGGUCAACAAAACCUCUAUUAAAUCUGGACGAGGGGUAAUAUGCAGAAGUUCCGUAAGAUCAUCUAAUAUUUUAAUCAGUUUCUGCUGAUCAACAUAGUUAAAAAUUUCCCACCACUUGAUUAACUUUUUGGGCACCUUGAAAACCAUCAAAACUCUAGACUUGGUGGACAAAUCCAUCAUGUAAUAAAACACAAGACGUUAUCUCAAAAAUUCGACAAGAGUAGAAGAUUCCCAACCCUUGGGAUUUUUGACGCAAACAUAUGUCGAUGGGACAGACCACAUUCAUAACUCCAAUUUGCCGAACAGAAGCACUUAGCGAGGUCAGUCCACUUGGCUAACAACUCUAGAUUAUGGGGCAAGAGACCUAGGCUAAUAAUAAGACAAAGGCCAACACAAAGAUUACAGUGCCCCCUAAGGGUUGCCUACGUAUCCCAACCCGAGGGAAGGGAAUCAGGUGUGCGUAGUUCAUCCAGAUUGCACAAUUAACGAUUAACUAAUAAAUUGACCCUAACUUAAGAGACACUAACCAAAAACAAACUUAAAAAAACUUUUGAAUUUUCAGCUAGACACUUUAACUAAGACUGACACCACUAAUUAUGAAGAAAAAAAAUCUUUUUUGUAUUUUUAUUUUUGACAAAUAAGUAGAAAAGGCAAACAAAACUCUUUUUUUUUUUUUGAAUUUACGGUACUUUGAGAAGACAAAUGUAAAACGUAAAAAAAAAUCUUUUUGAGUUUUGGAUCGUGAAGAACAAAAGCCAUAAAGAAUUCUAAAAUAAACUACGACAUUCCUUUUGAUUCAUCUUUUUCGACUCACCUUUUUUCUAUAUAUUUUUUUUUAAAUCAGUCCGUCAAAUGACCACGUUACCCUUAAAAAUGCAACAGUUAGCACGUAGGGAUGCUUUAGAGGUGAGUCUACUACAAAGGGCCACGUGGGUCUCGCUAGGUCUCCGUAUGAUGCACAUAAGCAUGACCUAAAGGCUGACCUACGUUGUGGUUCACUAACAAGGCUGUUCGGGGGAGCGUAUGGUCGAUAGUGGUUGCUUUGCUUUCCAUCUACUUCAUAACACCGACGGCUCCCCCCUAAAAUAAGGGUGACUCAACUAGAGGUUGUGUACAACACGUGUAAUACGGACUUGUUACAGAAAGAGGGCCGGGGGGUGGACUCAUGAUGACAGAUAUAAAGCGGUAACACAUAGGAUAAAUAUUAUAAACAAAGAGCACAAAAACGCACAAAAGUGAAAAUAACAUCAACAAUAAUCACAAACAAUGCUUAUACAUUUGUAAUGCCAAACAAAGCCGAUACGACUCAAAAAUAAGCCCGCAUUCUCAUACUGGUCUCCCCAGCAGAGUUGCCAGAGCUAUCACACCCCCUUUUUCGACUCCAAAAAGAAUGUUUAUAGUUUAAAGUUCGAAAGGGUUUUAUUAUUUAAGUGAAAAGAAAUGAAAAUUGUUUGUUUCGAAGAAGGAUUGUUUUUACAUUUUUUUUUUUGAAAUCAGAGUCGCCACUUGGCAUAAUCUGGUGUGCCAGGUCACCAUUAGAAAAUCCUUUUCAAAACCAUUUGAUUCUUUAAACUGGUUUGCGAACAGAGAUUCUGGCUAAGGAAUUCUGUUGACCGAGGGGAAGGUGUUAGGCACCUCUCGAUCCCGUGGUUCAACCACGGUCGCUUGGUAGAGUGUAUCGACUAUUUUUGGCACUAAGAAAUGUAUAAACCACACAAAAGCAUGCAAGAUAAUCAAACAAAACAAAACAAUCUGAAAUGUAAAGUCCAGUCCAAUUAUACAGUCCAAAAAUAGAAAAAUACGAAAAUAUAAAUCAUAUUCUAAGCUAAUCCUAAAACUACGCUCCCAUGCCUUACCCGAUGCCUCGGGCCUUGAUCACGGGCCUCCUCUGUGUACAUGAUACUUCGGGGCAUUCCCCGGUGAAUAAAUACAAUGUGUCUCGGGGCAUUCCCCGACUAAAUGAAUACAUUUUCUCAAUUUUUGUGCGUUAAAAUUGAAAGAACCAUUCAACAAAUAUUCACACGUUCACCAAAAUCAUAAUCCUCCAUUUUUCUACAAUUUACCUACCCAAACUUAGUAUUUGCCGACCCCUUUAACGAUCUAACACAUGAUACUAUCAAUGUCAAUACUAUCCAAAAAUGAAUAAAAACUAAUGAACGUUCAUCUUAUUCGAUUCUCAACUCUUCCCCCCCAAAUUUCUUUCUCAACAUGAUUAAACCAAUUCAAUACGCAAUCCACCAAUCAAGUCUUCAUAUUCAAAUCCCAAAUCAACCAACAUAAAAACAGAGAUUCAAACAUAUCAAAUAACAAAUCAUUCAUAUUCACAUAAAAAAAAUUUAAAAAAAAAAAGGAAGAUAGAAUUGGACCUCAAGUGUCGCUUUCAAUAUAUCGGAGAUAGAACCACGCCUGAGAACCUCAACUUCUAGCUCAAUUUUAUUCCGAACACUUAGCGAUGGAUUUGGAGCUCACGAACCAAGACCUCGAUUCAACGAAUUCAACAUGGACCCGACAACUCGAUAAAAUUCAUAAAAAACGAACAUACCCAAAAGACCAACGAUUCAAACUGAAAUUUAUGGACUGUUUUGACCUCGGAUUCUGCUACUUACCUGAGUUUCGGAAAGCUCAGAAAGCGCCGAAAGAUGAUAACAACCCAAUUUUAAGGUAACCGUGGUGUUUUCCGGAGAACAGCUCGGCGAAAAUGUUAACCUCGACUUCUCCCUCGCAGCUCUCUCUCCCUCUCGCAGCUCACUCUCCCUCUCUUGCAGCUCUCUCUCGCAAUUUUCAGUGUAUGGGUGGAACUCGUGAAUGGCCCAAAAUCCCCAUCCCCUUCUUUGUUUGUAUUCAAUGAAUAAGAGCCUGGAAUAUUGGAACCAAAAUAUGGUGUAUAUGUUCCAAAUCCGUGAUUUUAUUUGGUGAGAGGAGUGACGUGUGUUUGGUGAGGAUGAGUGAUGACGGAGAGUGUUUUUUGUGAGGGAAUCGUGAGUGGUCUGGCAAAAAUGGCGUCUUCUUUUCUUGAAGAUUAUGACGAUGUUUUUCCUUGUGGGCCCCCUGUGGAGAAGAAGCUGUGUAUGUAUAUGUGGCUGUGAGGGUGUUUUUGUGAAGAAGAAAGGAAGCCAAAAAUUUUUCCCUCUUUCUGUAUCCGAGCCCCCCUCCUUUUAUGAUCAGAAUCAUGACAAA
This 11195-nucleotide long non-coding RNA is filed under the name Capsicum annuum. RNAcentral's name for it is "long non-coding RNA (CANN_LNC000155)". The record is from RNAcentral. Lineage: Eukaryota; Viridiplantae; Streptophyta; Magnoliopsida; Solanales; Solanaceae.